UACGGAGGGUGCAAACGUUGCUCGGAAUCAUUGGGCGUAAAGAGCUCGUAGGCGGUUUGUCGCGUCUGCCGUGAAAGUCCGGGGCUCAACUCCGGAUCUGCGGUGGGUACGGGCAGACUAGAGUGAUGUAGGGGAGACUGGAAUUCCUGGUGUAGCGGUGAAAUGCGCAGAUAUCAGGAGGAACACCGAUGGCGAAGGCAGGUCUCUGGGCAUUAACUGACGCUGAGGAGCGAAAGCAUGGGGAGCGAACAGG
This 253-nucleotide ribosomal RNA is filed under the name uncultured bacterium. Its description in RNAcentral is "partial 16S ribosomal RNA". It matches the Rfam family "Bacterial small subunit ribosomal RNA", at positions 524 to 776 of the family's 1533-position model. The record is from RNAcentral.